GGGGGUAUAGCUCAGUGGUAGAGACUUCGACGGCAGAUCGAAGGUCUCCGGUUCAAACCCGGGUGUUCUCU
RNAcentral lists this transfer RNA (71 nucleotides) under Trichonephila inaurata madagascariensis. It matches the Rfam family "tRNA". Rfam says of the family: Transfer RNA (tRNA) molecules are approximately 80 nucleotides in length. Their secondary structure includes four short double-helical elements and three loops (D, anti-codon, and T loops). The record is from Rfam by way of RNAcentral. Lineage: Eukaryota; Metazoa; Arthropoda; Arachnida; Araneae; Nephilidae.